GGUAGUGGACAUCUCCCCGUGGCAUCCAGUUGUCCCAUCAUACCCUCAACAAGGGUAUGGAUACCGAAAUAUCGUUUCUCAACGCAUACAAACGAAGCGUACAAUGUACAAGUAUUUGCUUUUAUGCUUUCAUCACGUGUUGACGAAGCGAGAGGGGUGUGCGGAUGAGCGUCAAGCGAUAGCGUGACAGUUCUAGGCUAACAUUUUCGCAGAGUUCAGGCCCACUGUGCGCCUGCCAAAACACUUGUCAGCCGAUGCUCUCUCUGUGCAAGCUUUUGCCGCUUUGGUUUUCUCUUGCUCUUCUCUUUUUUUUUUGUAUUCUCUGCUCUCCCUCUCUCUUUACUGGCUCUCUGCUCUCUGUCCACACUGUUAUGAUUUUCUGCACCUGUUUAACUGUUUUUGUUUUCGUUGAGUGAGCGGGUCGGCAGCUCCCGUCGCCCUUCUCCCCCCCCAGAGUUUCUAUGGUUCUAACUGGUUUUUCAAAAUUCCCUUACAUUGCCAUAUCCAUUUCCAAUACACCAAUCUCGGAGCAAUUUCACUUGCCGCCGCCACCACCGUCUCAUUGGCAGAGCAAUUGGUAAUUGGACUUGGAGCGGGUUGUAUAACUAAGUAUGGCCAGACCUGAGACCAGACGGGCCCGCCGUCAGCGACAGACCGACCGACCGCAUGGCAGCCGAAACGUACGAAUCGUACGAAUCGUACGAACCGGUGCGGUGCCCGAGUUGCCAACACAGUAGCGUCGAAAAAGUAGUGUGUAAACAAUUUUGGGGCCGCUCUCUUCGCUUUUAUCGCCGGCUAUGGAGUUGGUUGUCGCCGCCAUGCCAGGGUGUGUUAAUAUGGGGUGAACUAUUCCCGAUCUUCAAAAAGCAUUUUCUUUUGCGCGCACUGCCUUUCGCAUUCCCAUAAAGCUCUGAAAGAUGCUCCACGAGGAAAUAAAUAGUCGUAUCCAACGUUUUUGAUUUACAUAGUUAAAGACUUUGGACUUGAAAACACACACUCGUAAGAGUUUUUAUUAAUACAAUAAAGUAUUGUACACUAUUGUCUCCACCACACCAUGCAUGGCUCUCUCCCACACUCACACUCUCUCACUUGCUGUUACACUCACACAUAAGAGUGUGGUCGCUCUAUCCCCCUCUCACGACCGCCUGCAGUUUGUUUAUGCGACGCUUGUCCCACAUAAUUUUUGUUUGUUAGUUUAUCUGCUCUUCUUCUUUCACAUCUUCUUUGAGCUACUGCGUCGGCGCCGCGUCUCUGCCGGCAGACAACGAUUUCGUUCUAUUUUCCAUCGCACACGUUUUCCGAAUCCUCUUCUCACUCACUCACUCUCCUACGGCCUGUAUUUUUGGCAGCCACGUUGUUGGAGAGAAAAAUCUCUGUGGCUACAACCGGCCGGAAAAACCGGGCAAACAAUUCCCAUUGGAACGUUUAUUUCUUUUUGCCGACAAUAACGCUGCGGCCCGUUUGUCGACUCAAUUACUCUGCCACCAAACUAGAACACACACACAUACGUAAAAACAAACAUAUAUGGACCAUAUACGUACGCACGCAAACGUAAAAACAAUAACGGCAGUUUUUUUUCUCUUUCUACCCCUUUCCCACUGAAUCAAGUAAAUGCCGAUACAUUGUACGACGCGACAGCGCUGUGUUUUGUUAUUUGCGCGCGGGUGUUGCGGUACAGCGACGCUGAUACGGUACAUAGCCCACCUCUGCCAUGGCUAUCGGCUGCGGUUGUAUUGGUGUGAUUGACUUUUUCGCCUCUCCUCGCGACACAUGUGUGCACCCACACGGACGCGCCGCUCCACAGCGCACAGAACAACGAAGCACAUUUAUGUAAAUGCGAAGAAUGAAAGAAUUACCUUUUGCCGUGCACAGUGGGUCUCGCCGGCGUCGUUGAGAGCAAUGGACAAUAGGAACAAAACUCUGUUAUCAAACAACAUACAUAUGUUGGUGGUUCUGAGAACUCUUUUCUUCCAGUGGGUCCUAAUUAGGCCGAAUAUCGAAAUGCUUAUUUUUAUAUUCGCUAAAUAUACCAAAAAUAUAUCAAUCUAACACUCUCGUCCAUUAUGAUUUUAAAUGUUCUUAAAUGCUUCACAUAUACAUACAUCCAAAUAAGUAAGACUAUUCAGUGUAUUCAAAAAAUAUAAAAAUGUAUAAAGGUUCGUUAUGCAAGA
Molecule: long non-coding RNA, 2171 nt
Organism: Drosophila pseudoobscura
Lineage: Eukaryota; Metazoa; Arthropoda; Insecta; Diptera; Drosophilidae
Exons: 2
Source: RefSeq, a predicted model, not a curated record